AGCCAGUCUUCUGGCAUGGUU
This 21-nucleotide unclassified non-coding RNA is filed under the name synthetic construct. The record is from RNAcentral.